RNAcentral lists this small RNA (144 nucleotides) under Heyndrickxia shackletonii. RNAcentral's name for it is "Bacillus shackletonii c-di-AMP sequence". It matches the Rfam family "c-di-AMP riboswitch aptamer (ydaO/yuaA leader)". Rfam says of the family: This family represents a conserved RNA structure found upstream of the ydaO and yuaA genes in Bacillus subtilis and related genes in other bacteria. Lineage: Bacteria; Bacillati; Bacillota; Bacilli; Caryophanales; Bacillaceae. The record is from Rfam by way of RNAcentral.
CAUCGAAUAACGCUUAAUCCAAUUGGAGCGGGGGACCCAUACUUGUGAAUUGAUUGUUCACUUGGGGUGAAUCCUUUAUAAGGUAGGGCUAUUCUCUCAUGUCCGAAUCCGACAGCUAACCUCGUAAGCGUAUAGAGAGGAAUG